GAUCAUGGCUCAGAUUGAACGCUGGCGGCAGGCUUAACACAUGCAAGUCGAGCGGUAGCACAGGGGAGCUUGCUCCCCGGGUGACGAGCGGCGGACGGGUGAGUAAUGUCUGGGAAACUGCCUGAUGGAGGGGGGAUAACUACUGGAAACGGUAGCUAAUACCGCAUAACGUCGCAAGACCAAAGAGGGGGGACCUUCGGGCCUCUUGCCAUCAGAUGUGCCCAGAUGGGAUUAGCUAGUAGGG
RNAcentral lists this ribosomal RNA (244 nucleotides) under uncultured bacterium. RNAcentral describes it as "partial 16S ribosomal RNA". It matches the Rfam family "Bacterial small subunit ribosomal RNA", at positions 15 to 253 of the family's 1533-position model. The record is from RNAcentral.